AGGGCGAUCGGUGGAUGCCUUGGCAUCAAGAGCCGAUGAAGGACGUUGUAACCUGCGAUAAGCCACGGGGAGUUGGUAAACGAGCUUUGAUCCGUGGAUGUCCGAAUAGGGAAACCUCGAAAGUGACCGGAGUCAUGUCCGGCGACCCCACCUUGAAUCUAUAGGGGUGUGGGAGGGAACGUGGGGAAGUGAAACAUCUCAGUACCCAUAGGAGAAGAAAACAAAAUGUGAUUCCGUGAGUAGUGGCGAGCGAAAGCGGAAGAGGCCAAACCUUGCAUGUGUGAUAGCUGACAGGUGUUGCAUGUGGGGUGUUGUGGGGCCGUUUGUGAUCUGGCUGUCGACAGGUCGGGGAGUGAUAAAACAACAUCGAAGUCGAACCAUCUGGGAUGGUGGACCGUAGGGCGUGAUAGUCGUGUAGGCGUAUGGUGUUGUCUUCCUAUAAUGGUUCCCAAGUAGUACGGAACUCCUGAAAUUCCGUGUGAAUCUGGCGGGACCACCCGCUAAGCCUAAAUACUCCUUGAUGACCGAUAGCGGACAAGUACCGUGAGGGAAAGGUGAAAAGUACCCCGGGAGGGGAGUGAAAUAGUACCUGAAACCGAUUGCCUACAAUCCGUCGGAGCCCUUCGGGGUGACGGCGUGCCUUUUGAAGAAUGAGCCUGCGAGUUAGUGGUACGUGGCGAGGUUAACCCGUGUGGGGAAGCCGUAGCGAAAGCAAGUCCGAAUAGGGCGACAUAGUCGCGUGCUCUAGACCCGAAGCGUAGUGAUCUAUCCAUGGCCAGGGUGAAGCGACGGUAAGACGUCGUGGAGGCCCGAACCCACUUGGGUUGAAAACCGAGGGGAUGAGCUGUGGAUAGGGGUGAAAGGCCAAUCAAACUUCGUGAUAGCUGGUUCUCCCCGAAAUGCAUUUAGGUGCAGCGUCGUCUGUUUCUUACCGGAGGUAGAGCACUGGAUGGUCUAGGGGGCCCACAAGCUUACCGAAAUCAGCCAAACUCCGAAUGCCGGUAAGUGAGAGGACGGCAGUGAGACUGUGGGGGAUAAGCUUCAUAGUCGAGAGGGAAACAGCCCAGAUCAUCAGCUAAGGCCCCUAAGGGACUGCUAAGUGGAAAAGGAUGUGGAGUUGCUUAGACAACCAGGAGGUUGGCUUGGAAGCAGCCACCCUUGAAAGAGUGCGUAAUAGCUCACUGGUCAAGUGAUUCCGCGCCGACAAUGUAGCGGGGCUCAAGCAUACCGCCGAAGUUGUGGCAUUUAUGCAAUAUCUCGGCCUGUUUACAGGUCCAGGAGCAUGGAUGGGUAGGGGAGCGUCGUGUGGCGAGCGAAGCGGCCGGGUAACCGAGCCGUGGAUGCCACACGAGUGAGAAUGCAGGCAUGAGUAGCGAAAGACGGGUGAGAAACCCGUCCGCCGAAUAACCAAGGGUUCCAGGGUCAAGCUAAUCUGCCCUGGGUAAGUCGGGACCUAAGGCGAGGCCGACAGGCGUAGUCGAUGGACAACGGGUUGAUAUUCCCGUGACCGGCGAAAUAUCGUCCGUGCUGAGGCGAGUGAUACUAAACAUGCAAGCACUUCUCAAACAGCCUUCGGGUUGUUGGGUUGGGUGAGUCUGUGACCUGAUCUUGUAGUAGGCAAGCUGCGGAGGGACGCAGGAAGGUAGCCCAUCCCGGGCGGUGGUUGUCCCGGGCUAAGAUGGUAGGCCGGCACGUAGGCAAAUCCGCGUGUUGUGUGGCUGAGAGUUGAUGGCACUGCGAAACAUGUUUUGUGGUGUGGGUGAUCCUAUGCUGCCUAGAAAAGCUUCGUGAGCGAGUUGUGAGCCGCCCGUACCCUAAACCGACACAGGUGGAUAGGUAGAGAAUACCAAGGCGAUCGAGAGAAUCGUGGUGAAGGAACUCGGCAAAAUACCCCCGUAACUUCGGGAUAAGGGGGACCUGACACGUCAACACAUUUUCUGUGGGUAGCGUGGAGGGUCGCAGAGACCAGGCCCAAGCGACUGUUUACUAAAAACACAGGUCCGUGCGAAGUUGUAAGACGAUGUAUACGGACUGACUCCUGCCCGGUGCUGGAAGGUUAAGGGGAACUGUUAGCGCAAGCGAAGCGGUGAACUUAAGCCCCAGUAAACGGCGGUGGUAACUAUAACCAUCCUAAGGUAGCGAAAUUCCUUGUCGGGUAAGUUCCGACCUGCACGAAUGGAGUAACGAUUUGGGCGCUGUCUCCACCACGAACUCGGCGAAAUUGCAUUACGAGUAAAGAUGCUCGUUACGCGCAGCAGGACGGAAAGACCCCGGGACCUUUACUAUAGUUUGGUAUUGGUGAUCGGUACAGCUUGUGUAGGAUAGGUGGGAGACUGUGAAGUCCGGACGCUAGUUCGGGUGGAGUCAUCGUUGAAAUACCACUCUGGCUGUUCUGGUUAUCUAACCUCGGACCAUGAUCUGGUUCAGGGACAGUGCCUGAUGGGUAGUUUGACUGGGGCGGUCGCCUCCUAAAAGGUAACGGAGGCGCCCAAAGGUUCCC
This 2500-nucleotide ribosomal RNA is filed under the name wastewater metagenome. RNAcentral's name for it is "bacterial LSU rRNA". It matches the Rfam family "Bacterial large subunit ribosomal RNA", at positions 14 to 2321 of the family's 2925-position model. The record is from RNAcentral.